UACGUAGGGCGCAAGCGUUAUCCGGAAUUAUUGGGCGUAAAGGGCUCGUAGGCGGUUUGUCGCGUCGGGAGUGAAAACUCAGGGCUUAACCCUGAGCCUGCUUCCGAUACGGGCAGACUAGAGGUAUGCAGGGGAGAACGGAAUUUCCGGUGUAGCGGUGAAAUGCGCAGAUAUCAGGAGGAACACCGAUGGCGAAGGCAGGUCUCUGGGCCGCAACUGACGCUGAGGAGCGAAAGCAUGGGGAGCGAACAGG
Molecule: ribosomal RNA, 253 nt
Filed under: uncultured bacterium
Lineage: Bacteria
Description: partial 16S ribosomal RNA
Rfam family: Bacterial small subunit ribosomal RNA
Source: RNAcentral